GUGGGGAAUAUUGGACAAUGGGGGAAACCCUGAUCCAGCAAUGCCGCGUGUGCGAUGAAGGCCUGCGGGUUGUAAAGCACUUUCGGUGGGGAAGAAAUGCUCAAAGAUAAUACAUUUGAGAGCUGACGUUACCCACAGAAGAAGCACCGGCAAACUCUGUGCCAGCAGCCGCGGUAAUACAGAGGGUGCAAGCGUUAGUCGGAGUUACUGGGCGUAAAGGGCGCGUAGGCUGAUAUUUAAGUCGAUUGUGAAAUCCCCGGGCUUAACCUGGGAAUUGCGAUCGAUACUGGAUAUCUUGAGUAUGGUAGAGGAAAGUGGAAUUCUCGGUGUAGUGGUCAAAUACGUAGAUAUCGGGAAGAACACCGGUGGCGAAGGCGGCUUUCUGGACCAAUACUGACGCUGAGGCGCGAAAGCGUGGGGAUCAAACAGGAUUAGAAACCCCUGUAGUCC
Molecule: ribosomal RNA, 450 nt
Filed under: uncultured bacterium
Lineage: Bacteria
Description: bacterial SSU rRNA
Rfam family: Bacterial small subunit ribosomal RNA
Source: RNAcentral